CAGCAGCCGCGGUAAUACGAAGGGUGCAAGCGUUAAUCGGAAUUACUGGGCGUAAAGCGUGCGUAGGCGGUGAGUUAAGUCUGCUGUGAAAUCCUCGGGCUCAACCUGGGAAUGGCAGUGGAUACUGGCUCGCUAGAGUGUGUCAGAGGAUGGUGGAAUUCCCGGUGUAGCGGUGAAAUGCGUAGAGAUCGGGAGGAACAUCAGUGGCGAAGGCGGCCAUCUGGGACAACACUGACGCUGAGGCACGAAAGCGUGGGGAGCAAACAGGAUUAGAUACCCCGGUAGUCCCUGUCUCUUAUAC
RNAcentral lists this ribosomal RNA (301 nucleotides) under uncultured bacterium. RNAcentral's name for it is "partial 16S ribosomal RNA". It matches the Rfam family "Bacterial small subunit ribosomal RNA", at positions 509 to 807 of the family's 1533-position model. The record is from RNAcentral.